UGCCAGCUGAUUUGCAAGUGAUUGUCCCAAUUCUGGCACUUCACCAUGAUCCUCAGUUAUGGGGAGAUGAUGUAAAUCUUUUCAAACCUGAGAGAUUCGCAGAAGGGAUUGCCAAUGCCACCAAACACAAUGCUGCUGCAUUUAUGCCCUUUGGGUUGGGACCUCGAUCUUGUGUGGGUAUGAGCUUUGCGGUGACAGAAACAAAGACUGCUCUUUCAAUGAUUCUACAACGCUACACUAUUUCCCUUUCCCCAACCUACUGCCACGCACCAUUUACCCUUGUCUUCCUUCAGCCACAACAUGGAAUUCAGGUAAUGCUUCGUUCUCUGUAGAAUGAAGCCUAGAAUUGUUAAUGGAAUAAUACCUUUUGCAUCAGGUGCUGCAGCCAAUAGUUCACUCGAUGAAAGUGAAAUAUAGUUUUUACUAUUUUACAGUGAUGUUGAUUAAUUUGCACUUGUUUUCAUCCAUUUAGUAGUAAAUGAUGGUAUUAGAACUAAAUGUUUUAGCAAUUGAGUAUGAGGAUCAUGCUCCCCUUGACUACUUAUUGUCUUAUAUUCUGAUAUUUUCAGAUCCUUUUUUCUGUAACAAAAUUCUCCGAAGGCAUUGUUUUUUUUUUUUUAUUCUGCUGUCAAGAGAAAUUGUAAAUAACUUCAGGCUUCCCAUCAAAUCUCAAAUAAAGAACUGGCCUGAAACUGGUGAAAGGGAUUUUACUCUCUUACAGAGCUUAUAUGGACAUUUUAUAGAUUGCCAGAAUUCAGAAACACAACCCUCUCUAUUCUUUCCCAGGGGAAGCAAAUCCUCUCUGGUUUUUUUUUUUUCUUUUCCCUUUUUUUCUGAAAAACAAAAAAGGAUUUUCUUAAAUAGGAAAACUGUAUAAUUGACAGCUGAUUUCCACAGGUACAGAUUUAUCAUAGGCACCAUAAGGCCUGGAUUGUCUUGUAUGAUGUACCCUUGACCUAUUCUACAGGGCAAUGGAGGAUUAAUGGAAUGAAUAAACUAAUUUCAUGAGAAAAUUGACUUGAAUUUCUUGUUUACUUGUAUAAUACCCUUCAUACUUGAUAAAAGAAAAUUCUGGAAUGAAAAAACUAGCAACAUUUACUUUGUUACAAAUUUCAUAAAUGUUUAUUGAACAGUAAAAACUUUGUUAGAAUUUUCAAUAAUAAAGCCUAAAUAAAUUAUCAAACAUAUUCAUUUUAUGUUUUGGCAACAAAGAAACACGAUUAUAAUUUUAGAUUCACGUCUAACAGGUUUAAAGUUUAUUUUUGUAAAAAAUAAAAUUUACUUUUAGCAAGAUUAGCUAAAUGGGUGAACAAGAAUAAUUUUUUUUAUUUUGAUUUUUUUUUUUGACAAAAAUUAUUGACACAUAGUUUUCUUUAUUAUUAUAUUUUCUUUGCCAAAUCAUUGUUUCAAACAUUUUCACUGUUAGCUGAUCAAAUAUACUUAGAGAUAAUCAGUAGCAAAUUCAAUAUUUACUCUACAUAUAACCGGAGUGGACAAAAUCAGCUGCAUUUGUAUAUGUAAUUCAGACAAUCCUUGCUGUAAAUUCUAAACACAAAUUCAUUCAAAAAGAAAAACUACAAACACAAAUGUUUCUGCUUUGUCUUCCAGAUAUCGUCAGAAACGACUUCACAGCUACAAGACAACCGCAGAUUUGGACAAAGAUGAAAGACGUACACAACACUCAACAGUCAUUUCUUUAUGUUUUCUUUCCAUUCGGACCAAUCUAAAUUAAAUUUGUAAUUUAAUUUUAUCGAUUUAUUUAAUUAUUUUAAAAAAAUAAUAUUUUGUAUUUUAUAUUUUAUAUUUUAAUAUUUAUAAUUAUUUUUUAUCUUUAAACUAUAACCUUUUUACGUUUGGCAAUGGAUUUGUAUUAUUUUUUCUAUCUGGACAGAGUUUUGCUUUGCAUGAGAUAAAAUAUAAGGUUGGCGUUAGAUCGGAUUCGAGGUGAAUUUUUUUAAUUUUUAAUUUGAUUUGAUUUGAUUUUAUUCGUUAUUAAAUUUAAAUUUUAUUUUAUUUAAAUUUUAUUUUAUUUUUUUAUAUUUAAAUUUGAUUUCGAUUCGAUAUUAUAUAAAUCAUAUUUGAUAUAAUUUGAUCUGAAAUUAAUAAAAUAUUAUUUUUUAAAAUAUAAAAUAUUUUUUUAAAUAUAAAUAUUUAAAAAUAUCAUUAUAUAAAUAUAUAUAAAUAAAAAAUUAAAUAAUUAAUUAAAAAUAAUUUUUUAUAUAAUAUCAAAUCGGAUCAAAUUUAUCUAAAAUUUAAAUCCGAUCCGAUUUGACCUCCAUUAUUUUUUAAUUUUACCCCAUCUAUUCCUAUCUAAAUUUAAAUUUAAAAAAAAAAUUUUAUUUCAUAAGAUCGAAUCAAAUCAAAACUCGUCGAGUUAGAUUAUCGACCUAAUAAAAUGAGAUUGUAUUUUUUUUUUUUUCCUUUGUUGCAAAUUUUAACGUUUACGAAACCCAUUUUUUGAUUUGAUAUUUAAUUUUUUUUGCUCAAAAAAAAAAUCUUAAUACCUAUAAUUUUUUUAUCAUCCUAUCCAAAAACAAGAUUUUUUUACGUUUUUUAAUUACUACUCUUAUAUGUCAUGUCCAUGUAUUAAUUUGAAUAGGCCGCAUUUAUUGGUACCAUCACUUAUAUACGUAAUUACAAAUUUUAUAUAAAAUUUUAUAGAUAAAACUUAAAAUUUUUUUUAUUAAAAAUAAAUUAACAAAAAAUUUAAAUUAAUAAAAUGAUAAAUUUUAAUAUAAAAAUUAAUAAUAUAUAAAUAUUAUUUAAAAUAUUAUUUAUAAUUUAAAUUUGAUUAAUAUUUAUUUAAUGAUAAAAAGUUUUAUUAAUAUUUUUAUUAAAAACUAUUUAUUUAAUAAAUAUAUCAAAAAAUUUGUUUUUUUUCAUUUUAUAUAUUUAAUUUAUGUAAUUAAAUCUUUUAAGUUAUUAUUUUUAAUUUUAAUUUCAAUUUUAAUUUAUCUAUUUUUAAUAAAAAACUUUCCUAAUGAAUAUUUAUUCAAGUCUUUGCCAUAUCUGUCAUUGCUUCAGGUAAGGCCAAAAGUGGCCGCCAUUAACAACCCUUUCAUCUUCAACAUAUAAUUCAAAACCUGAUAUAUCCAUAAAACUUAAUAAAAAAAUCACAAUUUCUUGUUCGGAUCGGCAAAUGAAUUCCAUGGCAAACCUAUCAGCCUUUCUUACAGGCUCUCUAUGCCUGUGUCUGUUCAUAGCUCUAAUCAAAGUCCUUGACAAAUAUUGGUGGAUACCACUUCGGAUUCAGCAUCUAAUGAGUUUGCAAGGAAUCAAAGGACCUCCUUACAAGUUCAUCCAGGGAAACAGCAAAGAGACUAUAAAAAUGAAACAGGAAGCAUUAAGCAAGCCCAUGGCUACUUUAUCACAUGAUAUAUUGCCCAGAGUCCAUCCACAAAUUCAUUCACGGAUCAACUUAUAUGGUAAGUGUUAAAAUUCCAUUUUUUCACUUGGAUUUUCAUUUUCAUUUUCUCUUUUACUUCUGACCCUGUUUUUGAGUCAAUUUAACCUUCUUUUACUUUUGUGGGAUUAGGGAAAAACUAUCUUUGUUGGCUAGGGACUAGAGCUCAACUGUUCAUCACAGAACCUGAGCUUGUCAAAGAGAUGUUGAGAAGUAGUGAAAGAGAUUUCCCAAAAAGGACAAGUAGAGAAAGGAGGAAGUAUGAAGUCGAUUUCCUUUUUAAGAUGCUAGGAGAUGGGCUUGUGACAUCCGAAGGUCAGAAAUGGGCAAGGCAAAGGAAGUUGGCCAAUCAUGCUUUCCAUGGGGACACCUUAAAAGUAAACUUUUAACCAUAUUCUACAAAAUUAAUUAUUUUUGUUAUAGAUGUGGUGAUUGAGGCUUCAAAUUCUGUAAAUUAUGGUUACUUAUAGAGUGUUGUGGAUGAUGGUUUUGGCAGAGCAUGACUCCAGCAAUGAUUGCUAGUGUUGAGAUGAUGCUGGAAAGGUGGAAACAAUAUGAUGGCAAAGAAAUUGAGGUGUUCGAAGAAUUUAGGUUGUUGACUUCGGAAGUGAUAUCAAGGACAGCUUUUGGUAGCAGUUACUUAGAUGGGAAAAAGAUUUUUGACAUGUUGAUGAGGUUGUCUGUCUUGACAAACAGAAAUAUGUUUAAAGCUAGGUUUCCUGUCAUUAGGUAAGUUUCUUUUUAAUCUAGGUUUACUGAAAAUAUUAGAGUGUAACUAGAAGUCAUAUUCUGCAGCUUUGGCUCAGAUGGUGGAUUUUUUAUUUGUUUUUCCUUUAUAUAUGAGAAAUUUGUUUGUUUUUGCAGUAAGUUCUGGAGAACUUCUGAUGUAAUUGAAUCAGACAAACUUGCAAAAGGAAUACACAAUUCUGUGAUGCAGAUAGUUAAGAAGAGAGAAGAGAAAGUAGCUAGUGGAGAAGCCAAAAGCUUUGGCACUGAUUUUCUUGGAUUGCUUUUAAAUGCUUACCAUGAUGCAGACCAAAAGAACAUUCUGUCUGAACAAGAUUUGGUAGAUGAAUGCAAGACAUUUUACUUUGCUGGACAAGAAACAACUAAUUCUAUACUUGCAUGGACAGUCUUUCUUUUAGCAAUCCAUCCAGAUUGGCAAGAGAAAGCAAGGAGAGAGGUGAUUGAGGUCUUUGGUAACCAAAAUCCACAUUCUGAAGGCAUUGGCAGACUAAAGAUUGUAAGCAAAUCUAGUUCUUUUUUCUGCACACAUUACUGAAUAUUUAGUAGAUUGAAUUUUGAAUUCAGAAUAGAUUGAACAUGUUUAUUCCUCUGCCACAGAUGACUAUGAUCAUUAAUGAAACUCUAAGAUUAUAUCCUCCAGUAAAUAACCUGGCAAGAAGAACUGAACAUGAAGUUCAAUUGGGAAAGCUCAUUCUGCCAGCUAAUUUGCAUGUGGUUGCCUCAAUUCUGGCACUUCACCAUGAUCCUCAGUUAUGGGGAGAUGAUGUAAAUCUUUUCAAACCUGAGAGAUUCGCUGAAGGGAUUGCCAAUGCCACCAAAUACAAUGCUGCUGCAUUUAUGCCCUUUGGGUUGGGUCCUCGAUCUUGUGUGGGUAUGAGCUUUGCAGUGACAGAAACAAAGACUGCUCUUUCAAUGAUUCUACAACGCUACACUAUUACCCUUUCCCCAACCUACUGCCACGCACCAUUUACCCUUCUCCUGCUUCAGCCACAACAUGGAAUUCAGGUAAUGCUUCGUUCUCUGGAGAAUGAAGCCUAGAAUUGUUAAUGGAAUAAUACCUUGUACAUCUGGUGCUGCAGCCAAUACUUCACUCAAUGAAAGUGAAAUAUAGUUUUUAUUCUACAGUGAAUGAUGGCACUAGAACUAAAUGUUUUAACUAUUGAGUAUGUAGAUCAUGCUCCUUCUGUGUGCUUAAUUUUAUGUUCUGAUAUUUUUCUAGAUCCUUUUUUCUGUAACAAAAUUCUCCAAGAGCAUUGUUUUUAUCUGAUGUUAAGAGAUAUUGUAAAUGGUUUCGCAUCAAAUCUCAAAUAAAGAACUGGCCUGAAACUGUUGAAAGAGAUUUUACUCUCUUACAGAGCUUAUAUUGACAUUUUAUAGAUUGCCAGAAAUUCAGAAACAGAACCCUCCCUAUUCUUUCCCAGGGGAAGCAAAUCCUCUCUUUUUUUUUUUUUCUGAAAAGCAAAAAUAGGAUUUUCUUAAAUAGGAAAACUCUGUCUAAGAAGCAGAGUUUGGCACUAAUUUCUACAUGUACAGAUUUAUCAUAGGCACCAUAAGGCCUGGAUUGUCUUGUAUGAUAUACCCUUGACCUAUUCUACAGGACAAUCGAGGGUUAAUAGAUUGAACAAACUAAUUUCAUGAGAAAUUUGGCUUAAAUUUCUUGUUUACUUGUAUAAUACCUUCAUACUUGAUAAAAGAAAAAACUGGAGUGAAAAAACUAGCAAUAUUUACCAUACAUUCAAGUCUGGACAAUGAAAGAAAGUGUUCUUCAAUCGUUCCCCGAGUCUGAAAAAUGUUUUCCUUUCUUCUAAAAAAGUGGUCUUUUUCUCCGACAUGGUAUAGACGACGAUCUUAGAUGAGAUUUGGGUAAACGUACUGAAUUUUUUAAUAAUGUUUAAACGUGAAAAAAAAAAUAUCGCUAAAUACCUAUUGAAUAUUUCAAAAUUAAAAUAAAAUUAUUAUAUUAUAAUUAAUUAAUUAUAAUUUAAAAUUAUAUAAAAUUCCUCAAAAUAUUAUGUGAAUUCACGUUUAUUAGGGAUGAUCGUGAUUAGACAAUUGUAAAAGUAAUUGUAUUAUAAUUAAUAAUUAAAAUUAAAAAUUAUGUAAGAUUAUAUGAAUUUAUAUUUAUAAAUGAUGAUUUGAUUGAAUGAUUGUAAGAUGAUAAUAUAAAAAAUUAUAGGUGAAACGCUUCCAUUGAAAGAUUCCCAGGCUUUGUCUGGACGAAAGUAAUGACAAACCAAAUUGUGGCAGUUAGAGAGACAACGCUGCGGCAAGCAUGGACAAAAGUUGUAGGUCAUUUAAUUCUGACAUAUCUCUAUUUGGUUUUGCAUCUUUGGCUAAGCUAUUAUCAAUCUUGUCACGGGCGUGAAGUAGACUUGUGAUCUCAGAUAACGCCAAAAGUGGCGGCCAUUAUCUGCCCUUUCAUCUUCAACAAAUAAUUCAAAACCUGAUAUCUCCAUAAAACUUGACAGAAGAAAAAUCACAAUUUCUUGCUAGGAUCAGCAGGUGAAUUCCAUGGUAAACUUAUCAGUUCUUCUUGCAGGCUCUCUAUGCCUGUGUCUGGUUGUAGCUCUAGUCAAAGUCCUUUAUAAAUUUUGGUGGACACAACUUCGGAUUCAGCAUCUAAUGAGUUUGCAAGGAAUCAAAGGACCCCCUUACAAGUUCAUCCAGGGAAACAGCAAGGAGACUAUAAAAAUGAAACAGGAAGCAUUACGCAAGCCCAUGGCUGCUUUAUCACAUGAUAUAUUGCCCAGAGUCCAACCCCAAAUUCAUUCACGGAUCAACUUAUAUGGUAAGUGUUAAAAUUUCAUUUUUCCACCAUGAUUUUCAUUUUCUUUUUUUUUUUUUUUUUACUUCUGACCGUUUUAUUAAAAUCAAUUUAUUCUUCUUUUACUUUGGUGGGAUUAGGGAAAAAUUAUCUUAAUUGGCUAGGGACUAAAGCUCAACUGGUCAUCACAGAACCUGAGCUUAUCAAAGAGAUGUUGAAAAAUAAUGAAAGAGAUUUUCCAAAAAGGACAAGUAGAGAAAGGAAGAAGAAUGAAGACGAUUUCGCUCGUAAGAUAUUCGGAGAUGGACUUGUGAUAUCCGAAGGUCAGAAAUGGGCAAGGCAAAGGAAGUUGGCCAAUCAUGCUUUCCAUGGGGACAGCUUAAAAGUAAACUUCUAAUCAUAUUCUAUAAAAUAAAUUAUUUUUGUUAUAGAUGUGUUGAUUGAAGCUUCAAAUUCUGUCAAUUAUAGUUACUUAUACGGUGGUGUGGAUGAUGGUUUUGGCAGAGUAUGACUCCUGCAAUGAUCGCGAGUGUUGAGAUGAUGAUGGAAAGGUGGAAACAACAUGAAGGCAAAGAAAUUGAGGUGUUUGAAGAAUUUAGGUUGUUGACUUCAGAAGUGAUAUCAAGGACAGCUUUUGGUAGCAGUUACUUAGAUGGGAAAAAGAUUUUUGACAUGUUGAUGAGGUUGUCUGUCUUGACGAACAGAAACAUGUUUAAAGCAAGGUUUCCUGGCAUUAGGUAAGCUCUUUAAUCUAGAUUUACUGAAAAAAUUAGAGAGUAACUAGAAGUCAUAUUCUGCAGCUUUGGCUUAAAUGUUGAAUUUUUUAUUUAUUUUUCCUUCAUAUAUAUAUGGUAGAAAUUUGUUUGUUUUUGCAGUAAGUUCUGGAGAACUGCUGAUGUAAUUGAAUCAGACAAACUUGUAAAAGGAAUACACAAUUCUGUGAUGGAGAUAGUUAAGAAGAGAGAAGAGAAAGUUGCUAGUGGAGAAGCCAACAGCUUUGGCACUGAUUUUCUUGGAUUGCUUUUAAAUGUUUACCAUGAUGCAGACCAAAAGAACAGGCUUUCUGUACAAGAUUUGGUAGAUGAAUGCAAGACAUUUUACUUCGGUGGACAAGAAACAACUAAUUCUAUACUUGCAUGGACUGUCUUUCUUUUAGCAAUCCAUCCAGAUUGGCAAGAGAAAGCACGGAGAGAGGUGAUCGAGGUCUUUGGCAACCAAAAUCCGCAUUCUGAAGGCAUUGGCAGACUAAAGAUUGUAAGCAAAUCUAAUCCUUUUGCCUGCACACAUUACUGAACAUUUAGUAGAUUGAAUAUUAAAUUCAGAAUAGAUUGAAUAUGUUUAUUCCUUUUCCACAGUUGACUAUGAUCAUUAAUGAAACUCUAAGAUUAUAUCCUCCAUUAAACAACCUGGCAAGAAGAGUUGAACAUGAAAUUCAAUUGGGAAAGCUCAUACUGCCAGCUGAUUUGCAAGUGAUUGUCCCAAUUCUGGCACUUCACCAUGAUCCUCAGUUAUGGGGAGAUGAUGUAAAUCUUUUCAAACCUGAGAGAUUCGCAGAAGGGAUUGCCAAUGCCACCAAAUAUAAUGCUGCUGCAUUUAUGCCCUUUGGGUUUGGACCUCGAUCUUGCGUGGGUAUGAGCUUUGCAAUGACAGAAACAAAGACUGCUCUUUCAAUGAUUCUACAACGCUACACUAUUUCCCUUUCCCCAACCUACUGCCACGCACCAUUUACCCUUCUUAUGCUUCAGCCACAACAUGGAAUUCAGUUAAUGCUUCAUUCUCUAUAGAAUGAAGCCUAGAAUUGUUAAUCG
This 8722-nucleotide long non-coding RNA is filed under the name Durio zibethinus. RNAcentral describes it as "long non-coding RNA (DZIB_LNC001646)". Lineage: Eukaryota; Viridiplantae; Streptophyta; Magnoliopsida; Malvales; Malvaceae. The record is from RNAcentral.